Molecule: ribosomal RNA, 301 nt
Filed under: uncultured bacterium
Lineage: Bacteria
Description: partial 16S ribosomal RNA
Rfam family: Bacterial small subunit ribosomal RNA
Source: RNAcentral
CAGUAGCCGCGGUAAUACGAAGGGUGCAAGCGUUACUCGGAAUUACUGGGCGUAAAGCGUGCGUAGGUGGUGGUUUAAGUCCGUUGUGAAAGCCCUGGGCUCAACCUGGGAAUUGCAGUGGAUACUGGGUCACUAGAGUGUGGUAGAGGAUAGUGGAAUUUCCGGUGUAGCAGUGUAAUGCGUAGAGAUCGGAAGGAACAUCUGUGGCGAAGGCGACUAUCUGGGCCAACACUGACACUGAGGCACGAAAGCGUGGGGAGCAAACAGGAUUAGAUACCCCAGUAGUCCCUGUCUCUUAUAC